GACGAACGCUGGCGGCGUGCUUAACACAUGCAAGUCGAGCGGAGCGGAGAAAGGUUGAGUAACGCGUGAGUAACUGCCCCCCUCUCUGGGCUAACAGUUGGAAACGGCAGCUAAUACCGGAUCGUGGGGGAUGACUGCCGUCCUCUACGUUCGUGGGUGGGGUAGGGGCCCACCAAGGCGACGACGGGUAGCCGGCCUGAGAGUGCGACCGGCCACAUUGGGCUGAGGUACGGCCCAAACUCCUACGGGGGGCAGCGGGGGGGAAUAUUGCACAAUGGGGGAAACCCUGAUGCAGCAACGCGCGUGCGGGAUGACGGCCUUCGGGUUGUAAACCGCUUUCAGCUAUGACGCGGUAGUGGCAGAAGAAGCACCGGCUAACUACGUGCCAGCAGCCGCGGUAAUAC
Molecule: ribosomal RNA, 404 nt
Filed under: uncultured bacterium
Lineage: Bacteria
Description: partial 16S ribosomal RNA
Rfam family: Bacterial small subunit ribosomal RNA
Source: RNAcentral